AGCGGCGGACGGGUGAGUAACGCAUAGGAAUGUACCCCGAAGUGAGGGAUAAGCUCCAGAAAUGGAGUCUAAUACCGCAUGUUCUCUUCGGAGCAAAGCAGCAAUGCGCUUUGGGAACAGCCUAUGUCUGAUUAGCUAGUUGGUAGGGUAAAGGCCUACCAAGGCAACGAUCAGUAGCUGGUUUGAGAGGAUGACCAGCCACACUGGAACUGAGACACGGUCCAGACUCCUACGGGAGGCAGCAGUAGGGAAUUUUCCACAAUGGGCGAAAGCCUGAUGGAGCGACGCCGCGUGCAGGAUGAAGGCCUUCGGGUUGUAAACUGCUUUUAUGAGGGACGACUUCGACGGUACCUCAUGAAUAAGGGUCUGCUAACUACGUGCCAGCAGCCGCGGUCAUACGUAGGACCCAAGCGUUAUCCGGAAUUACUGGGCGUAAAGAGUUGCGUAGGUGGCUAGGUAAGUCCCAACCUAAAUCUGAUAGCUCAACUAUCAGAAGCGUUGGGAAACUAUCUGGCUUGAGCAUGGGAGAGGUAGAUGGAAUUUCCAGUGUAGGAGUGAAAUCCGUAGAUAUUGGGAGGAACACCGAUGGCGUAAGCAGUCUACUGGCCCAUUGCUGACACUGAGGCACGAAAGCGUGGGGAGCGAACGGGAUUAGAUACCCCGGUAGUCCACGCCGUAAACGAUGGAUGCUAGCUGUUAUUCGUAUCGACCCGAGUAGUAGCGAAGCUAACGCGUUAAGCAUCCCGCCUGGGGAGUACGGUAGCAAGAUUAAAACUCAAAGGAAUUGACGGGGACCCGCACAAGCGGUGGAGCGUGUUGUUUAAUUCGACGGUAAGCGUAGAACCUUACCAAGGUUUGACAUCCUGGGAAGGUCUCCGAAAGGAGACUGUGCCUUUUUGGAAUCCAGUGACAGGUGAUGCAUGGCCGUCGUCAGCUCGUGUCGUGAGAUGUUUGGUUAAGUCCAUCAACGAGCGCAACCCUUAUAGUUAGUUGAAUUUCUCUAGCUAGACUGCCCUGGUAACAGGGAGGAAGGAGGGGAUGAUGUCAGGUCAGUAUUUCCCUUACACCUUGGGCCACAAACACGCUACAAUGGCCGGUACAAAGGGCUGCCAAGCAGCAAUGCGGAGCAAAUCCCAUCAAAGCCGGUCCCAGCUCGGAUCGGGGGC
This 1166-nucleotide ribosomal RNA is filed under the name uncultured bacterium. RNAcentral's name for it is "bacterial SSU rRNA". It matches the Rfam family "Bacterial small subunit ribosomal RNA", at positions 94 to 1305 of the family's 1533-position model. The record is from RNAcentral.